UACGAAGGGGACUAGCGUUGUUCGGAAUUACUGGGCGUAAAGCGCACGUAGGCGGAUUUGUAAGUCAGGGGUGAAAUCCCGGGGCUCAACCUCGGAACUGCCUUUGAUACUGCAAAUCUCGAGUCCGAUAGAGGUGGGUGGAAUUCCUAGUGUAGAGGUGAAAUUCGUAGAUAUUGGGAAGAACACCGGUGGCGAAGGCGGCCCACUGGAUCGGUACUGACGCUGAGGUGCGAAAGCGUGGGGAGCAAACAGG
Molecule: ribosomal RNA, 253 nt
Filed under: uncultured bacterium
Lineage: Bacteria
Description: partial 16S ribosomal RNA
Rfam family: Bacterial small subunit ribosomal RNA
Source: RNAcentral